GAUUGUUUAGCUAACUGAAGGCGCCCGUUUUGAAAGCGGGAGAAAGAGGUUCAUACCCUCUAAUGAUCU
Molecule: transfer RNA, 69 nt
Filed under: Belzebub intermedius
Lineage: Eukaryota; Metazoa; Arthropoda; Malacostraca; Decapoda; Luciferidae
Description: tRNA-Ser
Rfam family: tRNA
About the family: Transfer RNA (tRNA) molecules are approximately 80 nucleotides in length. Their secondary structure includes four short double-helical elements and three loops (D, anti-codon, and T loops). Further hydrogen bonds mediate the characteristic L-shaped molecular structure. tRNAs have two regions of fundamental functional importance: the anti-codon, which is responsible for specific mRNA codon recognition, and the 3' end, to which the tRNAs corresponding amino acid is attached (by aminoacyl-tRNA synthetases). tRNAs cope with the degeneracy of the genetic code in two manners: having more than one tRNA (with a specific anti-codon) for a particular amino acid; and 'wobble' base-pairing, i.e. permitting non-standard base-pairing at the 3rd anti-codon position.
Source: RNAcentral